CGAGUGAAGCGGCAAAAGCUCAAAUUUGAAAUCUAGUACCUUCGGUGCUCGAGUUGUAAUUUGUAGAAGGUAACUUUGGGGCUGGUCCUUGUCUAUGUUCCUUGGAACAGGACGUCAUAGAGGGUGAGAAUCCCGUGUGGCGAGGAAUUCAGUCCUUUGUAAAGUGCUUUCGAAGAGUCGAGUUGUUUGGGAAUGCAGCUCUAAGUGGGUGGUAAAUUCCAUCUAAAGCUAAAUAUUGGCGAGAGACCGAUAGCGAACAAGUACAGUGAUGGAAAGAUGAAAAGAACUUUGAAAAGAGAGUGAAAAAGUACGUGAAAUUGUUGAAAGGGAAGGGCAUUUGAUCAGACAUGGUGUUUUGUGCCCCUCGCUCCUUGUGGGUGGGGGAAUCUCGCAGCUCACUGGGCCAGCAUCAGUUUUGGCGGUAGGAUAAAUUCGUAGGAACGUAACUUGCUUCGGGAAGUAUUAUAGCCUGCGAAAAUACUGCCAGCCGGGACUGAGGACUGCGACCAUUCUCCAAGG
RNAcentral lists this ribosomal RNA (519 nucleotides) under Saccharomycetales sp. IS. RNAcentral's name for it is "LSU rRNA". It matches the Rfam family "Eukaryotic large subunit ribosomal RNA", at positions 90 to 612 of the family's 3401-position model. Lineage: Eukaryota; Fungi; Ascomycota; Saccharomycetes; Saccharomycetales. The record is from RNAcentral.